Molecule: long non-coding RNA, 208 nt
Filed under: Phoenix dactylifera (date palm)
Lineage: Eukaryota; Viridiplantae; Streptophyta; Magnoliopsida; Arecales; Arecaceae
Description: long non-coding RNA (PDAC_LNC016254)
Source: RNAcentral
UGAUUUUAUUUUGGAUUGAUUUAUUUUAGUUGGGUUUAUGUUAUGUUGAUUGGGUUUAUUUGCAUAUUGUCAUUUUAGGGUCUUUUCAGAUUGUUUUCUUUGCAAGGGCCUAUUUGUUAUUUUGUGACCCUAUAUAUUUGGGUCCAUCCUCAUGUUUAGGGUUUGAUAAACGAUGAAUGAAAAUUAACCUCCUUUCUUCUUCCUCCUC